Molecule: long non-coding RNA, 1711 nt
Organism: Carassius gibelio (silver crucian carp)
Lineage: Eukaryota; Metazoa; Chordata; Actinopteri; Cypriniformes; Cyprinidae
Exons: 3
Source: RefSeq, a predicted model, not a curated record
UUGGCUUUUUAAUGAUUUCAAUUUAAAAUGAACAGGUUAAAUUAAUUAAUAUGCAGUCCCAGGCUGGAUGGUAAAGAAAUCUUGGUAGUUAUAAUAAUAGAUAAACAUUUUUUUUAGAUAAACGUUCUCAUUUUAGAUUUUAAAAAACAUAUUUUAAUUUCGACUUACAAAAAAAAAUAGCAACAUGAGCAUAGAUUAACGUAGAAUGGAAACUUCUGGUUUCAUUUUUACACCUAUGUCACACCUUGAACAAUGACCAGUGUGUGGUAAAGGUUCUGUCGCUGGAAGAACAGGAAGCUCGAAGCAAAUGCACACAGUAUACUGAAUGUCUCAAAUGUAUUAUCGUGCUAGACAAAUUAUGUUUGUCCAGAUUAUCCAUACAUUUGUGGUACUUUAUCUCAAUAUAUGUAAGUGACAUUUUAACCUGCAAAAAUAUUUUAUUUAGAAAGCAGCAAUAGGCUUUUAAAACCUUGAAAAAUACCAUUAUGCAUUUUAAGUCAGUGGCUUGUUUUUUAAACUUGGUGUGAAUGCUUUUGUUUCUUUAUUUCAGAUUUUACUCACUGUACAGUUCUUCAUCAGCCUGACUCUGUUAUCCCAGUUGACCUUGGUGCCAAUGUGAAUCUGCAGUGCUUUUUUGCAGAAAACUUCAGCAUGUACGACAUGUUUUGGUACAAGCAAAUCGAGGGCCAGCAGCCAUGUGCUGUUGUUAAGGCGGGAGCUGUUGCUGAUCCUAUUUUUCAUAAAUAUAUUAAUAUAAAUAUAUGGAUAUAUGAACACUCGCUUCAAUGUCAUCAGGUCAAAGAAAAGACUUUCUCUUAGUAUCAUUAACAUUAGUCACUGGGAUGAGGCGAUCUAUUACUGUGGAGGGGAGAUUUUCUUUGAUACUGAGUUUGGAAAUAUAGUAUUUGUGACGUUAAAUAUAUCUUUUCUUAACUCUACAGGUGAGUUUUUGUUUCAUGAGCUGAAAACCCAAUAACAUCGAAACCAAACCAGAUAUAUUUGUAUUUCUUAAAGGGUUAGUUCAUCCAAAUACCAAAAUUAUGUCAUUAAUAAUUUACCCCCAUGUUGUUCCAAACCUGUAUGACCUCCAUUUAUCUUCGGAACAGAGUUUAAGAUAUUUUAGAUUUAGUCCGAGAGCUCUCAGUCCCAACAUGAGGGUAAAUUAUUAAUGACAUAAUUUUGCUAUUUGGGUGAACUAACCCUUUAAGUUUAUAAGUUUGCAUGUAAGAGUAAUUUUAAGUCAUAAAAUGAAUAUUAACUGUUCUGCUUGUUUUGCAGCUUCAAAUCCAACAGAGAGAGAUUAUCGUUAUCAGUCGUUAUCUUUUAGUGCAACAUUAUUGGAAUAUCUGUCAUGUGGAUCAUAUGUCUGUUAAUCAGGAUUAAACAACAAAAGGCUUUAUCUCCAGUUUAUUCCAUCUCCAGUUAGCGUCAUAGAGGAAACACACCCGUCCACAUUGAAAUGUCGGACACAAAAGAGUCACACAUCCAGUUUUUGAUGCCAAUAAAGAUCAAGAAGCUUGAGGGGACAAUGAUGCACAAUAAAAUGAGGAUAAUUUGAGACUGAAACAUCUUGGUCAAAAAGAGGAACAAUUGGCUAUAUUCCUUUAACAUAACACAUUUGUAACAAUUACUGUAUAAGUACUGUAUAUUUGAUAAUUCAGCAUAGUUUUCAGUAGAAUUUAAAAUUUGAAUAAAUGAGCAUUGGCAACUU